RNAcentral lists this ribosomal RNA (517 nucleotides) under uncultured bacterium. Its description in RNAcentral is "bacterial SSU rRNA". It matches the Rfam family "Bacterial small subunit ribosomal RNA", at positions 8 to 518 of the family's 1533-position model. The record is from RNAcentral.
AGAGUUUGAUUAUGGCUCAGGAUGAACGCUAGCGACAGGCUUAACACAUGCAAGUCGAGGGGCAGCAUAAAGUAGCAAUACUUGGUGGCGACCGGCGUACGGGUGAGUAACGCGUAUGCAACCUACCUAUCAGAGGGGAAUAACCCGGCGAAAGUCGGACUAAUACCGCAUAAAACAGGGGCACCGCAUGGUGAUAUUUGUUAAAGAAAUUCGCUGAUAGAUGGGCAUGCGUUCCAUUAGGUAGUUGGUGAGGUAACGGCUCACCAAGCCGACGAUGGAUAGGGGAACUGAGAGGUUGGUCCCCCACACUGGUACUGAGACACGGACCAGACUCCUACGGGAGGCAGCAGUGAGGAAUAUUGGUCAAUGGGCGGGAGCCUGAACCAGCCAAGUCGCGCCGAAGGAAGAAGGAUCUAUGGUUCGUAAACUUCUUUUGCAGGGGAAUAAAGUGCAGGACGUGUCCUGUUUUGUAUGUACCCUGAGAAUAAGGAUCGGCUAACUCCGUGCCAGCCGCAGC